CUGAGUGUAAAAACUCCCAAACCCCUGUGAACAUACCUAUCGUUGCUUCGGCGGGACCGCCCCGGGCGCCAUUACGGUGCCCCGGAACCAGGCGCCCGCCGGGGACAUCAAACUCUUGAUUCUUAUAGUGGACUUCUGAGUGGAUUUUACAAAUAAAUCA
This 160-nucleotide unclassified non-coding RNA is filed under the name uncultured Ascomycota. Its description in RNAcentral is "sequence contains ITS1". Lineage: Eukaryota; Fungi; Ascomycota. The record is from RNAcentral.